RNAcentral lists this long non-coding RNA (35793 nucleotides) under Triticum aestivum (bread wheat). RNAcentral's name for it is "long non-coding RNA (TAES_LNC004822)". The record is from RNAcentral. Lineage: Eukaryota; Viridiplantae; Streptophyta; Magnoliopsida; Poales; Poaceae.
AAUGGAAAUGAUGCUAUCGAUUUGCAUGUAACUGCAUGCAGUGCCGCUGGUUUAAGGUUUGAGCUUUGGUUAAUUUGUGCUGGUGUUGUAGCGGUUAUCUAUUAUUAUUAAGGGGUUUAAUCAUAGACUACGUACCAUAAUGCGCAAGUGUAUGUGCGCGCUCUUGUGAAACUUAUGUGAACUUGAUUAUCUACGUGCAAUUUCAUUACUUUGGACUUUGGACUACUGUUAUCUAUGUGCAACUUCAUAACUUUGGACUUUUUUAUAUAAGUUGGGUGUUUCUUAUAUGGAUGAAAUACUCCUAUGUAAAUCAUCUUCUUCCUCCGUCCCAUAAUGUAAGAACGUUUUACAUUAUGGAUGAAAGGAGUAUAUUGAAAUAUAAAGAAUGAGAGACUUGCUAGGCACAACCAAGCCAGCCACGUCGCCCUUGCCUCGCCAUGAAUAGUACGAGGGGGCAGCGCGGCGAGAGCGGGCAGCGGCAGGGAAAAAAGAGAGGAAAAUAUCUCCCUCCUCUUCCCCUCCCUCAUGGCCGCCUCGUCUCCUCCACGCCGCCGCCGCCGCCAUCGCCUCCCUCCUGGCCGCCUCAUCUCCUCCAUCUCCUCCUCCCUUGCCUGCACUGCUACUCCUCCACCCUCACUUCUUCCUCCUCCUCGCCUUCCCAUCGCUCCCGCGCAGGUCGCCAUGCGGCAGGGGUGGGAUCGGGCGAAAAACAGUGCCGCCACUCCUCUCCCCUCCAGCGUCGCUCAUCUCUGCCUCCUCCCGCGCGCCCUCCCCCUCGCCGCCGCCACGACCUCUCCCGCCGCUCAUAUCCACCUCCUCCCGCUUGCCCUUUCGCUUCCCUUGCCGCCGCCACGACCCAUAUCCUCUGAGCAUGACGCCUCCUCUUCCCACUCCUGCCCCGCCUUCGUCCUAGCGGACACCUCCUCCUCUCCUCUCCCUUGCCGCCUUCCCACCUCUCCUUGUCUCCUCGCGGCGGAAGGGAUAGACGCCGGCCCCCUCGCGGCGGCCACCUCUCUUCGUCUCCUCCCAGGUUCUCGAUCUGGAGUGGAAGGGAGCCUUGGCUCGUUCUUAUCUCUGUCAGGCAGGUGAGCUCCUACUUCCUCCCCCUGUCUCCCUUUGAUUUUGUGAUGGCGUUGUACUGUGUGUUUGUGUUGUUGCUUUGUCAGCUAUGGCUACUACUUGUGCUACUAGAUGUGUGUGCUGCUGGUUCACAAAACGGUGGGACACCAUUUCACCUCACACCUUCUCCCAUUCCAGAUCUGAAAGUAUUUUGAUUCAGUUUCCUCUAUAUGUUUUCCCAAUUGAAUCAGGUCUUGGUAUAACCAAGAGGGGAUUGAGGCACGUAAUGAGGUCAGCAGGCUUUGUUCUACAGUUUUCUGCUAGGUAGUAGAGCUCUAAAUUCUAUAUAACUCUUCGUGUUGACGAAUACAUCAUUCUGAAUUCUUCUCAUGGAAGUUCCAUAAAGGCCAUAAUUAUUCAAUUUAGCGUACUACUUCGGAUGUAAAAUUUGAUUGGCUGGCCAACCACACCAAAAGAUGAAUAUUAACAUGAAAUUUUGUAUAAGCAACUUUCCACAUUAUUUGGAUGCACUUUCUGCAGAUAAUAUUUCUGGAGACAAUAUUUAAUAAUCGAAACACAAUUGAAAGGAAUGUACGCCUGAAAUUCAGCAAAGCCCUGUUUAUGCUGACCAGUUAGAAACCAACUCCCUCAAAAUUCGCCCUGUACUAGAAAUAUAGUAUUCAUAGUCUUAUUUCUAUGUAAAAUUUUGUAGGACGGAUUAUGAAGCUGGAUUGCAGGACUUCCUUUGAACGUUUGACAAAUUAUGAAAAGGUCUCAAUGCUCAACAAGUUAUAUUAUGUUCAGUGAGUUGCAUGACGACAAUGUUAGAAUCCUUACCAUUUAAACUUCUGUAUGCAUGAACAGCUGAACACUCGAUACAAUAAUUUAGUCUUAUCCGGUUAACACUAAAGGAAAUAUGCCCUAGAGGCAAUAAUAAAAUUAUUAUUUAUAUUUCCUUAUAUCAUGAUAAAUGUUUAUUAUUCAUGCUAGAAUUGUAUUAACCGGAAACUUAGUACAUGUGUGAAUACAUAGACAAACAGAGUGUCCCUAGUAUGCCUCUACUUGACUAGCUUGUUUAUCAAAGAUGGUUAUGUUUCCUAGCCAUAGACAUGUGUUGUCAUUUGAUGAACGGGACCACAUCAUUAGAGAAUGAUGUGAUGGACAAGACCCAUCCGUUAGCUUAGCACUAUGAUCGUUUAGUUUAUUGCUAUUGCUUUCUUCAUGACUUAUACAUGUUCCUCUGACUAUGAGAUUAUGCAACUCCCGAAUACCGGAGGAACACUUAGUGUGCUAUCAAACGUCACAACAUAACUGGGUGAUUAUAAAGAUGCUCUAUAGGUGUCUCCGAUGGUGUUUGUUGAGUUGGCAUAGAUCGAGAUUAUGAUUUGUCACUCUGAUUGUCGGAGAGGUAUCUCUGGGCCCUCUCGGUAAUGCACAUCACAAUAAGCCUUGCAAGCAAUGUGACUAAUGAGUUAGUUGCGGGAUGAUGCAUUACGAAACGAGUAAAUAGACUUGCCGGUAACGAGAUUAAACUAGGUAUGUUGAUACCGACGAUCGAAUUUUGGGCAAGUAACAUACCGAUGACAAAGGGAACAACGUAUGUUGUUGUGCGGUUUGACCGUUAAAGAUCUUCAUAGAAUAUGUAGGACCCAAUAUGAGCAUCUAGGUUCCGCUAUUGGUUAUUGACCGGAGAGGUGUCUCGGUCAUGUCUACAUAGUUCUCGAACCCGUAGGGUCCGCACGCUUAAUGUUCGAUGACGAUUCGUAUUAUAAGUUUAUGUGAUUUGAUGUACCGAAGGUUGUUCGGAGUCCCAGAUGAGAUCACAGACGUAACGNNNNNNNNNNNNNNNNNNNNNNNNNNNNNNNNNNNNNNNNNNNNNNNNNNNNNNNNNNNNNNNNNNNNNNNNNNNNNNNNNNNNNNNNNNNNNNNNNNNNNNNNNNNNNNNNNNNNNNNNNNNNNNNNNNNNNNNNNNNNNNNNNNNNNNNNNNNNNNNNNNNNNNNNNNNNNNNNNNNNNNNNNNNNNNNNNNNNNNNNNNNNNNNNNNNNNNNNNNNNNNNNNNNNNNNNNNNNNNNNNNNNNNNNNNNNNNNNNNNNNNNNNNNNNNNNNNNNNNNNNNNNNNNNNNNNNNNNNNNNNNNNNNNNNNNNNNNNNNNNNNNNNNNNNNNNNNNNNNNNNNNNNNNNNNNNNNNNNNNNNNNNNNNNNNNNNNNNNNNNNNNNNNNNNNNNNNNNNNNNNNNNNNNNNNNNNNNNNNNCGGCCUCCUCCUCCCUCCCUCCUUUAUAUACGUGGGAGGGGGGCACCCCAUAGAUACACAAGUUGAUCUUUAGCUGUGUGCGGUGCCCCCCUCCACAGUUUUACACCUCGGUCAUAUCAUCGUAGUGCUUAGGCGAAGCCCUGCGCCGGUAACUUCAUCAUCGCCGUCACCAUGCCGUCAUGUUGACGAAAAAUCUCCCUCGGCCUCAACUGGAUCAAGAGUUCGAGGGACGUCACCGAGCUGAACGUGUGCAGAUCGCAAAGGUGUCGUGCGUUCGGUACUUGGAUCGGUUGGAUCACGAAGACGUUCGACUACAUCAACCGCGUUACUAAACGCUUCCGCUUUCGGUCUACGAGGGUACGUGGACACACUCUCCCUGCUCGUUGCUAUGCUUCUCCUAGGUAGAUCUUGCGUGAUCGUAGGAUUUUUUUUGAAAUGCUACGUUCCCCAACAAACAUAGUGUUAGUUAAGAACCCAUGAUAAGAACAAUUACUUUCUGUUGAAUUACUGGGCUAAAUAUGUUCCUUAUUUUGCAAUUACCAGGUUCAAAAGCUCAUGAAUGCUAAUUCAACCGAGGUUGAUUGGGAGCGUUCCUUCUAUUUGAAUUUAGUCGCUCAGACGUCAUAUACUGCCACGAUGGCGUUGUGCAGGUAUGUUUCUGUGGCACUUCUGCUGAGAUCUUACAAGCUUUGUAUGCUCUGGACAAUUAGCUAUAACUGCAUAAGAACAACUAGAAACCUUUUCGGGUGAUCUAUUGAGGUGUCACGCUUGUGUGCGAAACACUAGAGUAGAGAAAUAUAUCCAGGAGGCACCAUUGUAUAGAAGAGGCAUAAUAACGGUGGCGCAGAGUGCGUGUUUGUUCAGCGUGGAUGUGGCCGUGUGAUAAGCUAUAGGUUGUUGAAAGAGCUAGUGAUCGACUAGAGGGGGGUGAAUAGGCGAUUUUUAUGAAAGUCUUCAAAACAUGGGAGUUUCGAAGACAAACAAUAAAAAUGAACCUAUUGACAUGCAGCGGAAGGUAGACUACACUAGGAAAGCCAUAGUCUAGUAUUCAAUGAAGUGAAAGCACGAAGACUAUUAGCAGCUAGGCAGUAUGGAUCAGGAUGGAAGAUAGUAUGAAGCCAAUCAGAACAAGUGGUCACGUAGUGAAGUCAAACAGAUAAAGCAAGCAGACAAUGACUUCACGAAGACAAACUGUAAGUAAAGAGAAAGAAGAGAUAGAACCAGUAGCUUGGAGAGGACAGUGAUUUGUUGGACCAGUUCCAGUUGCUGUGACAACUAUACGUCUGGUUAGGGAGGCUGAGAUUUAACUCAGAAGACCGCGUCUUCACCUUAUUCCCCUUGAGCCAAGGACACUUAGUCCUCACCCAAUCGCUCUGGUAAGUCUUCAAGGUAGACUUCCAAACCUUCACAGACUUCUAUCACCGGCAAUCCACAAUGACUCUUGGAUGCUCAGAACGCGACGCCUAACCGCCUGGAGGAUUCAUAGUCCUCCAGUGUAACAAGUCUUCAGAUCACGCGGACAGAAAGACUUCAGUGAUGCCAAAUACUCUUUGGGCUCUGGGUGUUUUGGGCUUUGUCCUCGCAAGGAUCUCUCUCUCAAAUGCUUCGGAGGUGGGUUGCUCUCAAACGACAAAAGUCGUGCACUAACUCUGAGCAGCCACCAAUUUAUGUGUAAGGGGUGGGCUAUUUAUAGCCAGGAGGCAACCCGACCUAAUUUGUCCGAAAUGACCCUGGGUCACUAAGGAACUGACACGUGUUCCAACGGUCAGAUUUCAAACACACGCGGCAGCUUAACUUGGGCUACAAGUAAAGCUGACUCAUCCAGCUCUGGAUAAGAUUUGCUCUCAUUGUCUUCGCUCGAAGACAUAGGAUUUAGUUGAGCAUCACUUCAGUCACUCUGACUUUGUUCACUUGGACCCCACUUAAUAGUACGGUGGUUCCUAUGACUCAACAAAGAAGAAAAGGAAACUACGAAACAACUAUGUCUUCACGCUCCAAAGUCUUCAUGCGAUGUCUUCUCAUGUCAUAGUCUUCCAUGUGAAUAUCUUCACAGACCACCAUUGUCUUCAAUGUCUUCACACAUUUUUAGGGGUCAUCUCCGGUAGGUAAACCGAAUCAAUGAGGGACUACUACCUGUGUUAUCCUGCAAUUCUCACAAACACAUUAGUCCCUCAGCCAGGUUUGUCGUCAAUACUCCAAAACCAACUAGGGGUGGCACUAGAUGCACUUACAAUCUCCCCCUUUUUGGUGAUUGAUGACAAACUGGUUGAAGUUUUCAACGGGGAUAAAAGUAUGUGAAAUAGUAAGGAUUGAGAUAUUGUCUUCAUAAGUAGCAAAAAGGCUCCCCCUGAAGAUGUGCAUAUAAGUAUUUUGCUCUGGAAUGCAAAUGCACAUGGCAGGUUGUACUUGUGGAGAUCCUCUUCAAUUUGAGGUAGAAGCAUAGAAGAGGUUAGGGUCCGAUCACAUUCACUUAGAUCAAAAGAUUCAAGCAAGAAGACAUAGCUAUAAGUGAAUGCUGUAGAGGACAGAACACAGUAUAUGUAUAUAUCUGAGUAAGACCAAAUCAACAUCGUGAAGAUAAUCAUGAAAUCAAAUCAAAGUUGAAGACAAAUCAAAUGCAAAGACUUUGCAAUUGUAACGCCAAGAUAAACACUUCAAACAAAAGUUUGGUGGUGGCAUUACCCACCGUAUAGGAAGUAUUAGACCCAGACAUGGCGCACAAUUAUCGCGGCGCUUCGAAGUCAAAUUCCGCAUUAAUGUAUUCACACUCAGAGUGUAAGUCUUCAUGGAUUGAAGAUAUACGUUACUUUGUGUGUUGCACAUCUAAGUCAUCAAUAUGCAUAAAUGUUAGGAUGUGUGUCGAAUCAUAGGACAUUUGAGGAUUCCAAGAUAUUUAGCUCACACCUCAACUUGCAAAACCUUUUCUCAUCCAAGGGCUUUGUGAAGAUAUCUGCCAAUUGCUCUUCAGUGUUGACGUGAAUGAUAUCAAUAUCUUCCUUCAUGACAUGAUCUCUGAGAAAGUGAUGACGAAUUUCAAUGUGCUUUGUCUUCGAGUGUUGAACUGGGUUGUUGGCAAUCUUGAUGGCGCUUUCAUUGUCGCAGUAGAGUGGCUGUGGCACCCCGGCUCAGAGCGACCGGUUUACCAUGCAUUGCCAGCACAGAGACCCUGUCUUCUGGCAACACACAACAUCUUGGUACAGAAAACAACCGCUUUAUUGAAGCUAGCGGAUCAAAGUUUAUAUUACAACAGGUGUCGAGGCCAAGCGGCACACACGGUGCGGCUGAACAAUAUGUACAUUAUUUAGUGAACAUAAAGGGGCCUCGAUCACAAUAACUACGCGACAGUGGAACAACGUCGUAGCGGAAACUCCAUAGCACAGGGACACCGAUGUGGACACGAUCUAGACUCGAACAGCACUCCUUUCCAAUGGAACUUCCCUGAAAUCUGGCAUGCAAGCCAGGUCAGUACAUUGAAUGUACUUGCAAGCUCACAACAAGCAUAAACAUAAUGACAAACAAUAUCAUGAUAAUUAACCAAUUAUUAGUAAUGCAACAAUGUAACCAACAUGCUGUGAUCACGCUCUUAUGGGAACAGUCCCUCGGACUAGCUUACCAACGGUGGUCGCUUCUGGGUCACAAACGUACCAACCACAUGAUCUCAGCUAUGGAUACCUCGUGAUCAUUCCGGCGAUCACAACCACGACCAAUAUUUGGUCUCAAACAGUGAUCCUUCCGGCGAUCACAACCACGACCAAUAUUUGGUCUCAAACAGUGAUCCUUCCGGCGAUCACAACCACGACCAACACUUGGUCUAAACCAACAGGAUGACCUUCCCGCCAUCCUAAUCAGUGCAAAGUUCAUGACUUAGUGUGCAAGAUUAAUUAAAUGUUGACCCAUGGUGUGACCUACUUUCGAGGUGUCCGUAACCGUGGACUCGGCUAUCGAUAGAUUAAUACACUCUGCAGAGGUAGCGCACUGUACCCACACCACGGAACCCAUGGCCUCGUACUCCCAUUCGGGUGGACCAACGGCAUUCCGACGAAACCCCUCCAUUGCCAUGACACUCUCUCGGCCACUCCGACCCACUCCCAACUGGGCUAGUCCUUGGUGGCCCCGUGUCUACCAAAGACACAACGACCACCGUCGUGGCCAAAACAUAAACGUCCCUCACGGGGACCGGUACGAAAAUCUCAACAACGGGCACACAAGGUUAUGUCUCCUUACCGGGCCAGGGUACCGCACGCCCAUAACCAUCCCUCGUUGGAGGCACCGACCAGAGGCAUGACAACGGACCGAAUAAAGGCCUUCUCAUAAAGGCAAAUGUGGUUGCACUAGGAAAACUCGAUUCAGUGGCACCAUGACCCGGUCAACGAUGUAUUCAAGUUGUGUUAUUAUCAGGUUCAACUUAAAUUGAAAAUAACCGGUGUCAUAGCAUGCCAUGAAAUGCAACACUAACAUAUGCAUCACAUAUUAACGGAAAUGACCGAGUCAACUAACUCCACACUAACCAUAAACAUCAACAACUCCUCAUACUUUUCUGGUUAGGAUUAAACCUCACAUUAAACAUAAUCUUUUCUAACAAAUUUUAUCAUUUUUCUCAUGCAAGAAAAUAACUCCAAUUAAUUACUUAUAUCUAUAACCAUAUUAUUUCUAUUAUAGCAAGAUUUUAUUCUAGUUUCUUUACCAACUAAGUUAGCUACAAACUUUCUGUAAAUCAAGCAUAUUAACUUAAACAAGCACUUAACAGAAUAUAAAUAACAUAAUAGUUAGUUAUAUGCAUGGAUUAAAUCAUUCAUUCAAGUGGAAAAAUAAAAAAUAUUGCAGUGGCAUCAUGAAAAUGUUGCUGUGGCUUGCCUUAGUGCAGAUGAGGUUCACAAGCCUUCCGGUGAUCCUCAAGACAAGCUUCACUCUCUGAAAAUAAUUUUAAACACAAGAAGAAAAUAUCAAGAACCCUUCUGAAAUUCACCAGAAAAUCUAGACAGCAUAGAAAAAUCUCAUUUUUGGUGAGCUGCUAGAUUUCUUUGCAAAGAACACAAAGCAAAAAGAAUCAAUUCAUUUGGACUUAUGGUUGAAGAGUUAUAGCUGUUUGAAGCUCUCUGGAAAAUAUAUGAAUUUGAAUUUAAAUAAAACAGACNNNNNNNNNNNNNNNNNNNNNNNNNNNNNNNNNNNNNNNNNNNNNNNNNNNNNNNNNNNNNNNNNNNNNNNNNNNNNNNNNNNNNNNNNNNNNNNNNNNNNNNNNNNNNNNNNNNNNNNNNNNNNNNNNNNNNNNNNNNNNNNNNNNNNNNNNNNNNNNNNNNNNNNNNNNNNNNNNNNNNNNNNNNNNNNNNNNGGGGGGGGGGGUGACGUCGAAGGCGUAAAGCCUCGGGGCGCCACCACUCGUACCGCUCCGCGCGCGCACUGAGUGGCUGACUAGCGGGCCCCGCUAGCCAGGUGAGGUGGAGGGGGAGAAGGAAACAGAGAGUGGCGCGGCUUCGCCGGAGCUCACGCCGGCGGCGAGGGCUCCUUGGCCAAAACGAGAGGGAGGGAUCGAGAGAGGAGACGGAGGCGCACCUGCCCGUACCCGUAGAGUAGUUAGGGGUGGUCGGACGACGUCGGAAUCGUCCUCUCUAGCGCAGACAGGAAGCAGAGCUCGCCGGAGACGAAGACGACGGCGAGCAGAAGCGACUCCAGGGGCUCCAACUGGGCGGAACGGCACCACCGCAGUGUGGCGGGGGCUCUGGAAGGGUCGCCCAGGCCUGGGAGGGGCUGGAGCUACCGCGACGACCCGAGGGGAUCGCCGGCGAGGUCGAGCUCGGGGACGGCGGCCCGUGGCCUGCCCGGCCGGGCUACGGCUAUCCACAAGUUUGUGGANNNNNNNNNNNNNNNNNNNNNNNNNNNNNNNNNNNNNNNNNNNNNNNNNNNNNNNNNNNNNNNNNNNNNNNNNNNNNNNNNNNNNNNNNNNNNNNNNNNNNNNNNNNNNNNNNNNNNNNNNNNNNNNNNNNNNNNNNNNNNNNNNNNNNNNNNNNNNNNNNNNNNNNNNNNNNNNNNNNNNNNNNNNNNNNNNNNNNNNNNNNNNNNNNNNNNNNNNNNNNNNNNNNNNNNNNNNNNNNNNNNNNNNNNNNNNNNNNNNNNNNNNNNNNNNNNNNNNNNNNNNNNNNNNNNNNNNNNNNNNNNNNNNNNNNNNNNNNNNNNNNNNNNNNNNNNNNNNNNNNNNNNNNNNNNNNNNNNNNNNNNNNNNNNNNNNNNNNNNNNNNNNNNNNNNNNNNNNNNNNNNNNNNNNNNNNNNNNNNNNNNNNNNNNNNNNNNNNNNNNNNNNNNNNNNNNNNNNNNNNNNNNNNNNNNNNNNNNNNNNNNNNNNNNNNNNNNNNNNNNNNNNNNNNNNNNNNNNNNNNNNNNNNNNNNNNNNGAGAGGAAGGCGACGAGUACAGUGCAGAGCGCACUGUUGCGUUGGCCGGACCGCGCCCGUGCUCGCUGCGGCGAGCUCCGGCUUCGGCGAGUGCCAGGGGAGAGUUAAGGGGGUUUGGACGAAGAUGGUGGCGAGGUUUGGCACGCUUUGGCAGUCGGGGAAGCGAGCACGCGCGAAACAGAGCGCUCGUCGGCACUCAGAGCGCGUCGACACGCAGGCUGCCAUCGUGUACACGCGUGGUCACCGCGUGAACUUUGCCCCCAGGCCGACCUAUGUCCAAAGUUCAUGUCUGGCUUGUUGUUCGUGGUAGUUGUGAAGAUUACCACGCUUUGGUUUGGAUCCAGACGCAGUAGAAAAGAUUUCACAAGCCAAGUAAGUUUCUGAUCAGAAACUUUGAGAUGUUACCGAGGUCAAAUGGCUGGGAGUUAGGAGCUGGGUUUUGGAGGCUAGCAAUCAUCUACUAAGGUGAUGAUGCACAAGAAAAAUCAGCCUGAUUGGAGCAAGUAAAAUGGUAGUUGCUGUAGAAACCACCAUUUCUGUCCAGAACAGAAAAUAUUUUCUAUAGCAAAAAUAUUCCAAAAAGUCUUGCAAUAUUUUUGCUUAGCAGGAAGGUGCCCUAGGGUUCAAAGAAUAUUUGUGAAUUUUGUCAGAUUUUUGUGGGCAAGAAAAAUUGGGGUUGCUUUGGAGCACAUUGAGCUAGCUAGGGUUUUGGAGAGGGAAAUGAUAUUUUUCAUUUAAGAAAAAUAUUCCAAAUAUUAUUUUGAGGUGAACCAGAGAGAGAAUGAUGAUUAGAGAGUGAAAUGAGGCACUUGGGUGAAAGCCAAGGGGUACCCAAGUGUUUAAGUCCAUAUGAAAAGAUUCAAAAACUCAAAAUUUCAAAACCAAUCCAAAUGAAAAUCAGGCAAAUAAAGGAGGGCAAAAACCAGGCUGUCACAAACCUCCCCCACUUAGAAUGAAUUUCGUCCUCGAGAUUCGGUUGCUUGGGAAAACCAUUCGGGACAAUGUGCCCUUAGAAAUUCUUCUCGUUCCCAAGUUGAUUCUGACUCGGUGUGAUGCUCCCACUGGACUUUGUAGAACUUCCUCACUUUACUGCGAGUGACCCUUUCCAUCUGAUCCAAAAUUUUAACCGGUCUCUCUUCAUAUGUUAAAUCCCUUGCCAACUCUAUCUCGGCCAUAGCAGUCCUUUUCUCAGGCGGCGAUAUGCAUCGCCUUAACUGUGAAACAUGAAACACGUUGUGCACGUCUGACAAUUCUGGGGGUAGUUCCAACUGAUAUGCAACAGUACACACUCGGGACAUCACUGGAAAUGGACCAAUAAAUCUGGGUGCCAACUUUCCACGAGUCUGGAACCUCUUGACUCCUUUCAUAGGAGUGACUCGGAGGUAUACAUGUUCUCCGGGUUCAAAACUGAUCCGUCGGUGCUUUGCAUCAUAAUAACUCUUUUGUCGAGAUUUGGCCAAUUGCAAUCUGUCUCUGAUUUCCCUAACUUGUUUCUCAGCUUCUAUCAUGAGAUUUGUUCCGAAAAUGCGGCUAUCUCCAGUUUGAGACCAAUUUAAAGGAGUGCGGUGAUGAGGACAUAGACCUGGGGUAGGGUAAUAGGCCUGACCUAUACCUCCUACCUUAGGUCCUUGUCCUAGAAGCAAAGAGGUUCAAGAGUAAACAGAGGGGACCCAACAAAGGUGUCGAGUGUAAUCCACUCGACCUACCAUUCACUCGAAGACCCCCCUUUGUUUCUGUCACUCGACCACUAAACCACUCGACGUGCAGAAGACCUAAAGACACUCCGCGCAGCAAUGGUCGGGCAUUUACCCUUAGACUUAAUAGUCAUUUAUAUUACUUUACUACAGACGUUACCUGUAAUGCUCCUGCUUUAUGAACAUUGAACUCCUUGUAACGUGGGCUGGCCGGGGUCCUGGCACACUCUAUAUAAGCCACCCCCUCCACUGGCACAAGGGUUCGCACCCCCUGUAACACACACGCAUAUAAUCCAGUCGACCGCCUCCGGGCUCCGAGACGUAGGGCUGUUACUUCCUCCGAGAAGGGCCUGAACUCGUAAAACUCGUGCGUACAGCUUCUCCAUAGCUAGGACCUUGCCUUUACAUCCCUACCCCCCAUUCUACUAUCAGACUUAGAACCACGACAGUUGGCGCCCACCGUGGGGCAGGUGUUUUAGCGACUUGUUGGAGAAGUUGCAAUUUUUCCGAUCCCCAUCAGCAUGGUUUCAGGUGGAGGAUUGACCGAGGGCCGCGAGAUCCGUCUCGGCGCGCUCGUGUUCGUCGCAGACGGCUCCGCUUGGCUCCAAGUGGCUCCACUCGACGUCGAGGUGCUCCCCGUCUGCGGGGCAACGCACUUUCGCACGUGCGUCCGCGGCGUCCUCCUGCGGCAGCCGUCGACCCAGUAUCGGUCGGCUCCUGUGGCAUUUUCACUCCCUGCAGCCCGCCGACACAAGCGUUCCGGUCGGUCGAGACUCCAGUCGGCCACCCCUCAAGUCGCGGCAAUCGAGCCCGACGAAACUCUCUACGGCCUGUUCGACUGGCUCCGUUGAGACCGCAUCCGAGUGCGACAGCAGUGACCCUGCGGCGGAAGUCCUGAUGGUCAACGAACCGCGCAGUCCUCCUGGCUUCCCCCGCGUCGACGGUGGUGAUGGCGGAGGCGAUCCGUCGCGUGCCCAUGAGGAGUACCGCCCCGAGCCCCUCUCUUCGCAGCAGAGGGAAGAGCUUCGCCGCCGUAACAUGGAUGCACUUCACACUCCUAUCGUUGGAGAAACCCCCGAGGCCCGGGCCUUGGAGGAGGUGCGCCUGGCCAACUUGGCGGAGCGCACUCGACUGGAGAAUCUCCAGCACGCACUCGACGAGCGUGCUCGGCAGUGAGUUCCUGAAUCCAGUCGACGUCAACUCUUUCCGCCUCCAACCCAGGUAUAUCGAACUCCGAUCCAGAAUCUCACAGCUGCUGCCCGAAUAGCAGAGUCGAUUCAGCCUUCCCAGUCGGAGGCUGGUAGGGGUUUGAUGCAGAUCCGGGCUUUGCUCCAGGCGGCGGGGGAGCAGAACACAGCUGUGUCACAGUCUCGGAAUAGGAUUCAUAGUAGGUCUGUGAUGGCAGAUACAGUUCAGUCGGCUCACAGCCCGAGAUCGCCUCCAAGACGUGAGGGACGUGGAGAUCGACAGGAUCAGUAUAGGAACCGUGAGCAGUACGAUCGUCGUCGAGUACCCACGCCUCCCCCAAGGAGUGGGUCAUACGCGGCUUGGCAACACGAUGACAGACGCCCUCACAGUGGUGGGCAAAGGAUUCCAGUCGACCCCCGGGAGCCGGGCUUUGACGCGAGAUCCAUUCUCGUUCAAGGUCUAGUUGACAGGAACAGAGCACACAGAGAUGGCCACGAUAGAGAUUACCCGACCGGCAGCAGGGUGCAUGUUUCAGGUCCCGAGUGUUUCAGCAGAGCCAUCAGAGCAGCAGUGAUUCCUCCCAACUUCAGGUUGGCGACUGGAGUCAGCAAGUUCACUGGUGAAUCCAAGCCUGACACUUGGCUUGAAGACUACCGAGUGGCUGUGCAGAUUGGUGGUGGUAAUGAUGAAGUGGCCAUGAAGCACCUUCCUCUGAUGUUAGAGGGCUCGGCCAGAGCGUGGUUGAAUCAGCUAGCACCUAGCAGUAUUUAUAGCUGGGAAGAGCUUGCCCGAGUAUUUGUCAAAACAUUUGAAGGUACAUGCAAACGGCCAGCAGGGCUGACAGAGCUACAGUCUUGUGUGCAUAAGUCGAAUGAAACUUUGAGAGAUUAUAUCCAGAGAUGGAUCACGUUGCACCACACGGUGGAGAAUGUGUCUGAUCACCAAGCAGUUUGUGCCUUCAAGGAAGGCGUCAAGUAUCGGGAAUUGAAUAUGAAAUUCGGUCGGACCGGAGAUAUGUCUCUGAGUCGAAUGAUGGAAAUUGCCACCAAGUAUGCUAAUGGUGAAGAGGAGGAUCGACUCCGGAGUGGCAAGCACAAAACAGUCGCCCACGAAACCGGGGGAGGGAACUCCAGUCGGAAGCAGAAGCGCAAAGCCGAGCCAGCUGCUCCCGGAGAAGCCUUAGCCGUGACUCAAGGAAAGUUCAAGGGGAAGCCCAAAGGGCCAUGGAACCCCAAGAAGGUAAAAGAUCAAGAUGGAAAUGAUGUGUUGGAUUUACCGUGCCACAUUCACAUCAAAAAAGAUGAGGAGGGUAAUCUCAUUUACCCGAAGCCCAAAGAGAAGGAGAAAGAAUCAGACAAGGUUGAGGAUAAGGAAGAGGACGAUGAUGGUUACCCCCACGUCAAUUCAACUCUGAUGAUUUUUGCUGAUGUUGAGAGCAAAAGUCGACUGAAAGUCAUCAAUAGAGAAGUGAACAUGGUCACCCCAGCGACGCCCAGUUAUUUGAAGUGGUCUCGGACUGCCAUUACAUUCGACCAGUCUGAUCACCCAACACACAUAGCCACCCCUGGGAGGCAAGCGUUGGUGGUCGACCUAGUUGUCGAAGGCACUCGGUUGACUAAGGUUCUGAUGGAUGGUGGCAGCGGCCUGAAUAUACUGUAUGCAGAGACCUUGAAGGGAAUGGGCAUUCCGAUGUCCAGACUCAGUGAAAGCCAUAUGAGUUUCCAUGGAGUUAUUCCUGGCAAGAAGGCUGAAUCACUCGGCCAGAUCGCCCUCGAUGUGAUUUUCGGUGAUUCCAAGAAUUACCGCAAAGAAAAGUUGACGUUUGAAGUCGUCGAUUUCCAGAGUGCUUAUCCUGCUAUCCUGGGCAGGCCGGCUUAUGCACGUUUUAUGGCUCGACCAUGCUACGUGUACCUCAAAUUGAAGAUGCCUGGUCCCAAAGGAGUGAUCACUAUCACUGGCAAUCGGAAGAAGGCAGAAGAGUGCUUCCAGAAGGGCUCAAAGAUCGCCGAUGCACAAAUGGAAGUAGUGGAAUUGCAAGAGUAUCAGAAGAACGCAUAUCCGAGUGAUUUGUUGCGAGCAAAGAAGCCUGCCACGGAUUCAGCAUUUCAGUCAUCUGGUGAAACGAAGCCGAUUCAUAUUCACCCGACCGAUCUCAAUGCUGCUCCAACUCACAUUCGACAACGCUCGACUCCAAAUAGGAAGAAGCGCUCAUCCAGUUCCUCCGUGAGAACUGGGACAUCUUUGCAUGGAAAACUUCUGACAUGCUGGGUGUUCCCAGGGGGCUGGCUGAGCACCGUUUGUGAGUUAACCCAAAAGUGAAACCAGUCAAAGAACAUCUUCGACGGUCCGCCGUACAGAAGAGAAAAGCGAUCGGUGAAGAAGUAGCUCGGCUCCUAGCAGCUGAGUUUAUCCGAGAGAUUUACCACUCCGAGUGGCUAGCCAAUGUUGUCAUGGUCCCCAAGAAGGAUGACUCACUUCGCAUGUGCAUUGACUUCAAGCAUAUCAAUCGGGCCUGCCCGAAAGAUCACUUUCCUCUACCCCGCAUCGAUCAAAUAGUCGACUCGACUGCCGGGUGUGAGCGCUUGUCCUUUUUGGACGCUUAUUCCGGGUAUCAUCAGAUCCGACUGUAUGGACCCGAUGAGAUAAAAACAGCUUUCAUCACUCCAUUUGGGUGCUUCUGUUAUGUCACCAUGCCAUUCGGCCUAAAGAAUGCUGGAGCUACAUUCAUGAGGAUGAUUCAGAAGUGUUUACUCACUCAAAUCAGUCGGAAUGUGGAAGCAUACAUGGAUGACAUUGUGGUCAAGUCACGUAAAGGUUCGGACCUGCUGGCUGACCUUGCUGAAACUUUUGCCAACCUCAGAAGGUAUGAUAUCAAGCUUAAUCCAUCAAAGUGCACAUUCGGAGUUUCGGGCGGAAAAUUACUCGGUUUUCUUGUUUCCGAACGAGGGAUCGACGCUAACCCAAAGAAAGUUGGUGCCAUUCUCCGAAUGAAACGCCCUGUGCGUGUGCACGAUGUUCAGAAGCUUACAGGUUGUUUGGCCGCCUUAAGUCGAUUCAUUUCUCGCCUUGGUGAAAAGGCAUUGCCUCUUUACCGACUGAUGAAGAAGUCUGAUAAGUUCGAGUGGACUCCUGAAGAUGAUGCAGCAUUUGCAGAGCUCAAAGCCCUGCUUUCCACCCAGCUGGUGCUUGCUGCCCCAAUCAGCAAAGAGCCUUUACUACUUUACAUUGCAGCCACUAGACAAGUCGUCAGUACAGUACUUACGGUCGAGCGGGAAGAAGAAGGAAAAGCCUAUAAAGUUCAGCGCCCAGUAUAUUAUGUUUCUGAAGUUUUGACUCCAUCAAAGCAAAGAUAUCCACAUUAUCAGAGGCUUGUUUAUGGGAUUUAUAUGACCACGAAGAAGGUUGCACAUUAUUUCUCUGACCACUCCAUUACAGUCGUCAGCGACGCUCCAUUAUCAGAGAUUCUGAACAACAGAGAUGCAACUGGUCGAGUGGCAAAGUGGGCGAUUGAACUUCUUCCCUUGGAUAUCAAGUUUGAGGCAAAGAAAGCUAUCAAGUCCCAAGCAAUAGCAGAUUUCCUCGCCGAGUGGAUCGAGCAGCAACUGCCGACUCAAGUCCACUCGGAGCACUGGACCAUGUUCUUUGAUGGUUCCAAGAUGCUGAAUGGUUCCGGUGCUGGGGUGGUACUGGUAUCCCCCCGAGGAGACAAGCUCAGAUAUGUUCUCCAGAUUCACUUUGAUUCCUCAAUUAACGAAGCGAAAUAUGAAGCACUUUUAUAUGGGUUACGUAUGGCCAUCUCACUCGGCGUCCAUCGCCUCAUGGUCUACGGCGACUCAGAUUUGGUAGUCAAUCAAGUGAUGAAGGAGUGGGACGUCAGAAGCCCAGCUAAAUGGUUGUUGUUACUUUUGUUUACGUCUGAAAUCCCCCAGUGGGUGACUUUGCCGCGAAUCCGUUUCGCCUAAGUUUGAAAAAUCCUACCGAGUGGUGAGCAAGCCUCUCACUCGGGGACUUAGCCGCAAAUCCGUUUCGCCUAAGUUUGUAAAAUCCUACCGAGUGGAGAGCAACCCUCCCACUCGGGGGCUUAGCUGCAGUCCAGUACUCACCUAAGUUUGAAAAAUCCCACCGAGUGAUGAGCAAGCCUCUCACUCGGGGGCUUAGCUGCAGUCCAGUACUCGCCUAAGUUCGAAAAAUCCCACCGAGUGAUGAGCAAGCCUCUCACUCGGGGGCUUAGCUGCAGUCCAAUACUCGCCUAAGUUUGAAAAAUCCCACCGAGUGAUGAGCAAGCCUCUCACUCGGGGGCUUAGCUGCAGUCCAGUACUCGCCUAAGUUUGAAAAAUCCCAUCGAGUGAUGAGCAAGCCUCUCACUCGUGGGCUUAGCUGCAGUCCAGUACUCGCCUAAGUUGGAAAAAUCCCACCGAGUGAUGAGCAAGCCUCUCACUCGGGGGCUUAGCUGCAGUCCAGUACUCGCCUAAGUUUGAAAAAUCCUACCGAGUGGUGAGCAACCCUCCCACUCGGGGGCUUAGCUGCAGUCCAGUACUCGCCUAAGUUUGUAAAACCCUACCGAGUGGUGAGCAAUCCUCCCUUUCGGGGGCUUAGCUGCAGUCUAGUACUCGCCUAAGUUCGAAGUCCAUCCCUAUCCACAAGGACGACGAGGUGCAGGUCGACGAGAACCUUCUCCUUCGGAGCUGCGCCACAAGUACAAUGUGCGCUCCAUCCCUAUCCGCAAGGACGACGAGGUGCAGGUCGACUGCAACCUUCUCCUUCGGAGCUGCGCCACAAGUACAACGUGUGCUCCUGCCCUAUCCGCAAGGACGACGAGGUACAGGUCGACUGUAACCUUCUCCUUCAGAGCUGCGCCACAAGUACAACGUACGCUCCAUCCACUACAAAAAAAUACACUUCCGUGAUGAUACAUGUUUGUCACAGUAGGUCGCGUUUUCUAUCAUGCAUGUACAUCCAUGACAAAUUUAUGACAGAAUCAAGAUAGUCAUACCUGUGCUGUCGUAGAAGUGUUCCAUGACAUUGCCAAAAUUAUCAUCACGGAAGUGUCCACUUCCAUGACGAUAAAUCGCGCGUCACAGAAGUGCUUUUGUCAAGGGUGACCGACACGUGGCAUCCACCGUAACGGAACGCCGUUAAGCUAUCGGGUCGGAUUUUGGAUCCGAUAACCCGUUAACAGCCACGACCAAUGCCGAUUUUCCACGUGUAAAAUUCUCAUUGACUGACGGAUCCACGCGUCAGCUCCGCGUUGGCACAGGUGUCACUCAUCCAACAGUCGAGAUGGGCCUAUGAUAUGUUGACACGUGGACCGGCCCAAAAGUGGCCCAUAAUGUUUAAAUGGGCCGGCCCAACCGAAGGCCCAUAAGAUUUAGCGGACCAUAAUGGGCCGGCCCAGCUAAAGGCCCACAAAAUUUAGCGGACCAUAAUGGGCCGGCCCAGCUAAAGGCCCACACGAUUUUGCAGACCAUAAUGGGCCGGCCCAACUAAAGGCCAAGAAGAUUUUGCGGACCACAAUGGGCCGGCCCAGCUAAAGGCCCGCAAGAUUCUGCAGACCAUAAUGGGCCGACCCAGCUAAAGGCCCAACAUUCUCUGUCAAAUCGGCCCGUCAACGACCUGUCCUAAACUUGUCAUCAACGCAGCCCAUGGUCACUUCUGGCCCGUUAACAGUCCGCUAAGUAAUUGGGCCGAAUUAUGGCCGGGUGUAUUUCUGGCCUGUUAAAGGUCCGGCUUCAUUUGGGCCCAUUUACAGGCCAUAUCUGACAUUCGGCCUGUUAGAGGCCCACUAUAGCUUUGGGCCACUUUCGGCCUGUUGUCAUUUUUGACCUGUUAACGCCGGACGUAAACCAUGGGCCAUAUGUGGCCCAACGUCAUAUCGGGCCCAUUAACGGCCCAUAUAAAAAUGACGAUAAUCUAGCCCGACCGAAGUUCCGGCCUAUUAAAGGCCCGUGUAUUAGGUCGGCGCAUUUACGGCCCGUCCGAAUUUCGGCCUGUCAAAGAUCCGCAUCGUAAAUGGGCCACCAUUUCGGCCUGCUAAGUCCAGUGGGUUAUUUGGCACAAUCAGGGCCCAAUCUCACUUUCGGUCUAUUAAAGGCCCAUGUUUUUUAUGGGCUCGAGAUAUUUACACCUGUAAACGGCCUAUUUUUACUGAGGGCCCAAAUUAUGUUUAGGCCUGUUAAAGGCCCACUAUGGGCACAGGCCUACCAGAAAAAUAUGAAAGCUUAUGCUGAUUUAGGCCCGGAUAUUUUUAGUGGGCUACAUGCCAAUUUCGGCCCGUAAUUGUUUUUAGCCCAAUUGGAAUGGGCCCGACGAAUGUUGGCAUGUUGGGCUCCUACGAAGCUUUCGGCCGAAUACAUUACUAAGAUAAACCUGCACUAUACAAAAAUAGCGUCGUAAUUACUGCAGCCUGAGGCAGCAUCAUAAAUGUUGUAUCACAACAAAAUAAAUUCCAACCAUACAACAAAAGGCCUGUUGGCAUAAAGUUUACAGUCCUUCCAGAUAAAAGCACCAUCAGAUGUAUAGAAGCACAGAUCAUUUGACCCGAGUGCUAAUGUUUCAGGCUGUAGAAUCUGAUGGAGCAGCAUGAUCUCCACCUUUUUUCCGCCAUUGCUCUUGAACAACAAAGCGAAUGUCUGAUAGUCUGGUUUCAAAACCAUUCAUAUCUUGACGACAUUUCUCAACCACUAUUCUUGUUUCCGAAACAACGUCCAUUAGGGAUUGGACUUGUGUCUGGAGCACAGAUAUAUCACUCUGUCUAGCAGGAAGAUUUUGUUCAGUAGGCGAUUUGGACGAGGUUACCUUGACAACCAACCCAGAAUUACGCAGGAAGGUGCUUUUUGCACUGUUAGUGGAGAGAUACUGACGCACUGCCACAAGAGGUGACAUUCUGCCUAUAGUAGCCUCGUCACCUUCAGGUGGUUGUGGCUGUUCAAUCAUUUGUUCCAUAGCUUCCUGAAAGUUUGAACUUGUAGAUUAGUGUACCAGAUAUGUUACUAAUGAGACAAAAACAAACAAAGUAGGUUAAACGUUUAUACAUAACUUAUUUUGGUGAACUACUGUAAUACAUUAGCAUGUAUUGUAGUGCCAACUACAUAAUAAAAUCACUUUCGGAACAUAUGUCCAUGUAGCAUGCCUACCGUAUUGUCUAUUUCCUCACAUUCGUUGACAUCUAAGGAUAAAGAGACAUGGUUUAAAGUAGGACGAACAUAGUAUGACAUCAUUCAUAUCAUGGGCAAACAGAUAUAAAACAAACAGGCUAUUUUAUCAUUGUGUGCGCAUGUGAACAUAACAACUAGAUUACAUAUAAAGACCAAAAGAAUAUCCUUCAUCUCUUUUAAACCAUGUAAGGUGAAAUGAUACGUUAAGACAACUGUGAAUAAAAGUGAACAGAGUAACUGACAUUGGCUGCAAACCAAGUAGUUAAAUGAACACAUCACAGUACCAAUCAGUUCAAGGCAGGAGGAGUAAGGACUUACAACAGCGGCUUGAACUGGUGUGCUCAUGCCCUUCAUCUUACUGGUGUGGCAAUCCUUGAAGAUUUGCACCGCAUUCGGUUCAGGUUCUUUUUGGUCCGCACGGGCUUUCCUCUGUAUUUGGAACAAGUCAAUAGAUACGAUAAUAUGGCACAAAAAAAAGAAGGAAGUAUCAGCUAUUUACAAGAGCCUCGCAGUGUGCAAUAUAGCUACGAGAUCCUGUUGUCUGUUGGAAUUUCACUUUAGAACGGUUGGUUUUGUUCUUCAAACAGUUAGCCUAGAAGAAGAUACACUUGUAAGGCACAUACAUAAAUACAAGUUCAAUAUGUGGUCUGAUCAAAUACAUAUAGCCUACUUGAUACUUUGGAUCAGACCAGUGUUUAACAAGGGCUGUCCAGUCUUCAUCUGUAAUAUAUUCCACUGGAGAUGUUUGGGCGAUUUCAUUGUUAGCCAUGCCUUCAAAGUGAGAUUUUCUAAGGUGGUACCGAUACUCUCGCAGAGCAGACUGAAAACAUGAGUGCAUGCUUGUUUAGUUGCAUCAUCUUUCGGAUCCAACUUGAACCUCAUCUGUUGAAAAAAGAAUGUGAGUCUUAUUAGGAGGAAGCUAGAAAGUAUGGGACAGAGCAAGACAAUAUUACUAAUUGCGAUGAAUAACAUUACUUACGGAUAAAUGGUCAAGGAAGGUGUUAAACUGGGUAUUGUCUUUCUCAUUCCUGUACUGGAUCCAUGUUGGGAGGAUACGUGCAUGACACCUAACGGCAAUGGCUGCCUCUGAUACUAACUUGGCUGACUCUGUAGCAUCACGUGGCCUUUUUAAACCUGCCUCAAAAUGGAUCUCCAUUCUUCCUCCUUUAGAUUUUGUUAAUCUGUCAAGCAUUAUCCCUGAUGUCUGUUUCCGCUUGCGCCGUGGUGCUAGUUCAACAACGAAUAUGGAAAGUGUUAGUGUACAUCAAACUGUGAGAGUACAUAUAAAGGAGCAUGCAACUGCAACUUGACUCGGUCAGGUACCGUCUUGGUGUUGAUGCUCAUGAGGUUCAUCUGAUCUUGCCAAGUCCUGUUGUGUCAGCAGUGCUUCGGAAGUAGUGUUAGGUGUGAAGGCAGCUUGGGAACUGGCCAGUUCUGGAGCAAACGAACGAGUAACUGGUUGAGAUGCUGGUACAGUUGAAGCGGAUGCUACAGCUGGUGGAGCAGGUGAUACUGUGUUUGUAGAUUUAGCCGGUGGACUUGGACCUUCUACUGCACUAUAAGUACCAGCAGCAUCUCGACGGCAGAACCUUUUCCGUUUCACCCGACGAGUAACAGCAGUCCCUACUAUAUUAUUUUCCUUGCUCUUUUUUGACUUUGCCAUGUCAAGCUGUACCCACAACACAAAAGAAUAAAAUCACUCUUCAGAACUCAUUGAUGCAUGAUACAGACAAGCAAUACUUUGAUGUAAGACAACCGUAUGAGGAUGGAAUAUGUAAGAAAAACAGGACGGCAUGACAUAUUCACAGCUACGAUGUGCAAACUAAGCAGAAGGAUUUUUAAGAAAAUGGAAGUAAUGCAACCUAGACACCAUAUAAAAGAUGCAACCAAUAUUACUCUGCCAAGUUAAAAGUGUCUUGUCAUAAGUGGCAAUUCAAAAAAUUAGAAGCAGUACAACGUAGAAAUCAAUGCAAGAUGCAACCACUAUCAAACUGCCAUGUUAAAAGCGUCCAAUCAUGAGUGACUGUUGCGGGAUACACAAUAGCAGUACUUUGAUGUACGAACAUGGUAUGAUAGAUAGAUGCAGUGUAUUCUAGACACAGAAAGCCAUGUCAUAUGCACAUGUAUAACGUAUAAACUCAGCAGGUGCAAUUUAAUCAAAAUAGAAGAAAUACAGGCUAGAAAACAUAUGCAACAUGAAACCAAUUAUCACACUGUCAACUUAGAGCAAGCACCUGCGAUGGUGGAGUACGAGAGAUGAACUCAUCCUGUAGACUUGGGACUUCAACUUCAUUAGCAGUAGCAGUGGAAAAUCUAGAGAGUCUCUGUUUGCGUCGGUGCGGAGGACCACCAACAUCCCCUAACUUACUCUUUUCCUUCCUAUUUUCUGAUAUUGCCUUAUGAAGUCAAAACCACAAGAAGAUGAAUAAAAUUAGCUCUGCAUAACUGGUUGAUGCAUGAUACAGACGAACACUACUUUGAUGUAAGGCAAGCGCAGGAUAGGAGGAUGGAAUAUAUACAAAAAAAGACAGCGUUUCAUAUUCACACGUACCAUAGGAGGAUGGAAUAUGUAUGAAAAAACAGUAAGCGGAAGGCAUUUCAACAAAAUUAGAAGAAAUGAAAGCUAGGCACCAUAUGAACAUGCAACCAAUAUCACUCUAUCAUGUAAAAAGUGUCUCGUCGUAAGUGCCAUUUCAAGAAAUUAGAAGCAGUACAAGCUAGAAGACAAUGCAAGAUGCAACCUACAUCACAGUCCCAAGUUAAAUGUGUCUUAUGGGUAAGUGAUCGUUGCAGGUAUAAGUUGUAAGCUACGCAGAUGCAAUUCAACAUAAUCAGAAGCAAUACAAACUAGACAUCAUACGGAAAACGCAAUCACGUAUAACAGUUCCAAGUAAGAGCAAGCACCUGUGAUGGUGGAGUAGGGGAGGUGUGCUCAUCGUGUACACGUAUGUUCUAGAAACAGGAACACGUGUCAUAUUCACAGGUAUUAUGUGUAAAGUAAGCAGAUGCAAUUCAAGUUAGAAGCAAUACAAGCUAGACAUCAUACGCAACAUGCAACCACAUAUAAUAGUGUCAAGUUAGAGCAAGCACCUGUGAUGGUGGAGUAGGGGAGAUGUGCUCAUCAUCUACACAACUACGUUGACUGUCCAGCCUUGUGUUGUCUUGCGAAUCUUGUUGGGAGGAUGGCGGAGUAGAAUCUGUAGAGACCCCCUGUUUGAGUUGCUCCGAAGGACCACCAUCAUCCACUGCCGAACUAAUUUCCUUCAGCUGUAAUGAUUUUGCAUUGUGAAGUCAAACCGAUAAGAAAAAGGAAUAAAAUUCGCUCUUCAGAACUCAUUCAUGCAUGAUACUGACGAACACUACUCGGAUGAAAGGCAAACACAUGAUGCGAGGAUGGAAUAUGUAUGAAAAACAGGAUGGUGUGACAUAUUUACACCUAUGAUGUGGUAACUAAGCAGAAGGCAUUUCAACAAAUUAGAAGCACUGCAAGCUAGACACCAUAUGAAAGAUGCAACCAAUAUCACUCUGCCAAGUUCAAACUGUAUGGCGUUUCAACAAAUUAGAAGCAGUACAUGCUAGAAAUCAUAUGCAAGACACAACCAAUAUCACAGUGGCGACUUAAAGGUGCCUUAUCAUAAGUGACUGAUGCGGGAUAUGCAAGAAUAGUAGUCUGAUGUAGAAACAGGAACACAUGUCAUAUUCACAGGCAAUAUGUGUAAAGUAAGCAGAUGCAAUUCAACAAAGUUAGAAGCAAUACAAGCUAGACAUCAUACGCAACAUGCAACAACAUAUAAUAGUGCCAAGUUAGAGCAAGCACCUGUGAUGGUGGAGUAGGGGAGAUGUGCUCAUCAUCUACACAGCUACGUUGACUUUCUAGCCUUGCGUUGUCUUGCGAAUCUUGUUGGGAGGAUGGCGGAGUAGAAUCUGUAGAGAACCUCCGUUUCAGUUGCUCGGAAGGACCACCAUCAUCCAAUGCCUUGCCAAUUUCCUUCAGCUUUAUUGAUUUUUAAUUGUGAGGUCAUACCGACAAGAAAAAGGAAUAUCAUUCGCUCUUCAGAACUCAUUCAUGCAUGAUACUGACGAACACUACUCUGAUGAAAGGCAAAGUCAUGAUACGAGGAUGGAAUAUGUACGAAAAAAUGGACGGCUUGACAUAUUCACACCUAUGAUGUGGUAACUAAGCAGAAGGCACUUUAACAAAUUAGAAACACUGCAAGACACCAUAUGGAAGGUGCAAUCAAUAUCACUCUGCCAAGUUAAAACUGUCUCGUCAUAGGUGGCGUUCAUCAAACUAGAAGCAAUACAUGCUAGAAAUCAUAUUCAAGACGCAAACCAAUAUCACACUGCCAACUUAAAGGUGUCCCAUCAUAAGUGACUGAUGCAGGAUACACAAGAAGAGUAGUUUCAUGUAAGAACAUGGUGUGAUAGACAGAUAUAGUAUGUACCAAAAAUAGGAAAGCGUGUCAUAUUCACAUGUAUCAUGUGUAAGCUAAGCAGAUGCAGUUUACACUAAUUAGGAGCAAUACGAGCUAGACACCAUAUGCAACAUGCAACCAGAUAUCACACUGCCAAGUUAGAGCAAGCACCUUGGAUGGUGGAGUAGGGGAGCGGAGACUUGGACCUUGUAAUGCACUAUCAAUACAAGGAGAAUCGGUACAGAUGCUCCGUUUACGUUGCUGCAGAGGACCACCAUCAUUGCCUUCCUUACUCUUUCUUGAUUUUGCCUUGUCAAGUCAAACCCACAAGAAAAAGGAAUAAAAUUUGCUCUUCAGAACUCAUUGAUGCAUGAUACUGACGAACACUACUUUCAUGUAAGGCAGCCGCAUGAUAGGAGGAUGGAAUAUGUAUGAAAAACAGGACGGCGUGACAUAUUGACAUGUAUGAUGUAUAAAGUGUAAACUAAGCACAAGGUGCUUGAACUUGUUAGAAUCGAUGCAAGCUAGAAACCAUAUGAAAGAUGAAACCAUUAUCACUCUGCCAAAUUAAAAGGGUGCCCUAAUAAAUGUAUUUGACCAAAUUAGAAGCAAUACAUGGCAACAGGCUAGAAAUAAUAUGCAAUAUGCAACGAAUAAAGGUGACUCAUCGUAAGUGAUUGAUGCAGGAUACAGAAGAGAGGUAGUUUCAUGUAAGAACAAGGUUAACACAUAGAUGUAGUGUGUACCAAAAAUAGGAAGCCAUGUCAUAUUCACAGGUAUAGUGUGUAAACUAAGCAGAUGCAAUUUACCCUAAUUAGAAGCAUUACAAGCUAGACACCGUAUGCAACAUGCAACCACAUAUCACACUGCGAAGUUAGAGCAAGCACCUGUGAUGGUGGUGUUGGGGAAGUGCGGUCUUCAAGUACAGAGCUAUGUUCAAUAUCUUCAUUUAGGCUUGUUGUUUCUUGAGAAUCAUGUGGAGAGGAUGAAAUUGCAUUCUUUAUAAGAGUAUUGCGUCUCAUAUUAACCCACGCGCGUGACUGUCUCAUCAUAAGCAAUAGACGCAGGAUACACAAGAACAAUAGUUUGAUGUAAGAACAUGGUGUGAUAGGCAGAUGUAGUAUGUACCAAAAACAGGAAGGCUUGUCAUAUUCACAUGUAUAAUGUGUAAGCUAAGGAGAUGCAAUUUAACAAAUUAGGAGCAUUGAUGAGGGAUACACAAGAAAAGUAGUUUGAUGUAAGAACAUGGUUAAUCGAAAGACGUAGUAUGUACCAAAAACAAGAAGGCAUGUCAUAUUCACAGGUAUAAUGUGUUAACUAAGCAGAUGCAAUUUACCCUAAUUAGAAGCAUUACAAGGUAGACACCAUAUGCAACAUGCAACCACAUAUCACACUGCCAAGUAAGAGCAAGCACCUGCGAUGGUGGUAUGGGGGAAUUGCGGUGAUCAACUAGAGAGCUACGUUGACUAUCUUCAUUUAGCCUUGCUGUUUCUUGAGAAUCAUGUGGGGAGGAUGACACUGCACUCUUUAAACGAGUAGGGCGUCUCACAGUAACCCACUCGGGUGAUUGUCUCAUCAUAAGUGAUUGACGAGGGAUACAAAAGAGCAUUAGUUUGAUGUACGAACAUGGUUAAUAGACAUAUGUAGUAUGUAUCAAAAACAGGAAGGCAUGUCAUUAUCAAAGGUAUAAUGUGUAAAGUAAGCAGAUGCAAUUUAACCAAAUUGGAAGCAAUACAAGCUAGACACCAUAUGCAACAUGCAACCACAUUUGACAGCGCGAAGUUAAAGCAAGCACCUGGGAUGGUUGUGUGUGGCAAUUGAGAUCAUCAACUGCAGAGCUACGUUUACUGUCUCCAACUGCUGACACUGCACCCAUUAGAGCGCUGAAACGCUUAGUGCUUAUCUUUGAAUUACACUGGAGCGACUUCUGUCUUUCUUUUUUGCAUUCAUCAACACUGCGUCAGAGUCUGAAAUACCCAUGCAUAAAAAAACAAUAGUGUGAGCAUGGGUGAAGUGUGUGCACAAUUAGUACAGUGUAAAGGUAGCAGAUAGCAGGUCAGUGAGAAAUAAAUGACGGGAGACAUAUGAUAGCUCUACAACAUGCAUGGCACACUAAAUUACUACAGGAUUCUAUGAAAAUAACAGUCGACUGAAAGCAAAUAGGCCAGUCCAUUUUUUCUGCACCGUCCGAUGUACAAAGAACGGGCAGAUCGCCUUCAUCUACCUCCAGCCAGUCAGUGUUGACGAUCUUCCUUGAAACGCCAGCGACCACCGGCCCAGUAUUACUCCCCUGCCUGUGCCCUCCCCUCGACCUCACCGCACCGCCGUGCUUGGCACCGCCCCCCGGCCAUCCAUUCAAGCCCCGCCGACCUCCAGAUCGGGCGCAAGCAGCUCCUGCGCCCCACACCCCUAUGAUAGACACCGAUGCACCGCUUCCCUGGGGAACAGACGGACUAGGUGCUCCGCGCGCCUAAGCGGGUGCUGCUUCUUUUAAUUGCGGUUCGACUGACCCUGAAUUGAAAUCCAGGUGGGCUACUGACCUCUAGCAAAGGUGAAAUAGUAAAAGGGAGGAAACCUUGUGCAUUUAGUAUCACGAAGAAGAUGCAGUAAGAAGCGCUCAACUAGUUUCUUUCGUGGGAUGAAUACGGUGUGAGCGGAGACGUAAGAUUUGCACGAAUAAGGGAAGAGGAGUACCUCUUUCUGCUGGCAGUGCUGUGUCCUCCUUCUGUUUUUCCGACGAUCUUCUUGUUGUUCGCCGGAAACCAGAAGUUGUGGAGGACGGUGCAACCUUGGACGAACCCAUGGCCAAGUUGUUGAGUGUGGUGCGGUGGCCGUCUGUCGGCGGCGGGGAAGCAGAUCCGAGGCGGCGGACGACGGCGUAGCGGGAACAGCUCCGGUGCGGUGGACGGUUGCGACAGUGGAGCCGCAGCAGUGAGGCGCAAGACGGCGUGGUCGAAGUGGUUCUGUUACGGCGCACGUCGGCGUCGGCGUCGUGGAGGCAGCUCUGCCUCAGCUUCAGCUGCUAUGUCCUUGAGGGCGUUGCAGUUGCGGUUGCGUUGGACGACGACGUCGGGGUACCGGCUCCGGCGUGAUGGAGGAGGGCGGCGGUGGAUUGGCCGCUAUGGGGUGGAGGAUGGAGGAGGCUGGGGUUUCGCGGCUGGUGGAGAUGGCGUUUUCACGCCCACGGAGUAUGAAUGGGGAAACGGAGGGAGGCGGGGAACUAAGGGGGAACAAUGUUUCGGUUUGAGACGCGCUUGUUUGAAAUUUGGGGAAAGUUACAAACUUUGCCCCCAUCUAAAAUUUCGGACAUAUUGCGGGUUGGGGGUAGGACAGUCAUGUCAGCUAUCCCAAAUGUGCGCGGGAUAGAUUUCGGCCGAGCGCAUGGGUAGGCGCCCACGGCGUAUGGAUGCUUCUCGGAGGCGGUUGAGACUGAUGUCUUGGUGAAGUUACAAACCUACCCCGGUUUAGACCUUUGGACAUCGGGCCGAUAGGCUACACGGGCCAGAGUCAGGACAGUAAUUUCCUACCACCAAAACAUUAGUCUCGCGCGGUUUCGGGUGACCAGAGACCUAUUUGGCGCUUCGUUCAAUAUUUGGGAGCAGAAGCAUUAACGUUUUCGGUUCUCUUGAAUUGAACUUUCAGGAUUUGUCAAACUUCACAAAUCUUUACUCUUGAAAAUCCUAAAGCUACAAUUAUUUUGGAAUGGAGGGGGUACAUUUGAAUAUACAUUGUACACGAGUAUAUAUUAAAAAUAUGCAACUUACCUCAGUUCAUGCAUGGUUCCAGAUAUAAUCUCCUUGGUUGCAAAAAAAAGUUAGAUAUGCGUAUGAAUAUAUAUAGCAUGUUCAAACUCACAACAAAGAUUGAUGCCCCCUUUUACAUCUGAUUUACAAAUGCCAUUAUCUCGGGUUCAAAUAGAUGAAUGCACUUCCUAUGAAUUCGAAUCUUCGAAACCCCCUUUAUGUUGAAUUCGACAUGUAUUCUAUUUUGUAGCUAGCAAUUUGGAAUGUAUCCAUGCAAGUAACAAAUGUAUAAAGUGCUUCACACUAACAACAUGGAGUGCACUAAUUAAUGUUUAUAUAUGAAUUGCAAAAGCAUCCAUUGCCUGUAUUUCAAACCACUCUCACUCUAUGGAUCGAUAAUAUGAAAUAAACACAUGCACAUGCUAGAAUUCAAUAGAGUAUGGGUGUCUGAUAGACCGAUUUUCACCCAUACGCAAUUUGCAAAAUUCAUGAUCUCAUCCAAAAAUAAUAAUGCCAUUUAUAUUUUAAUUUAAUGCGUAGAACCGCCUUUUACACAUAGAUGCACUAUGCCUCGCCCCGUUCUCACAAACGCGUUAUAUAUCUCUCUAUCUAACGCAUAAGUGCACACACUUUAUAUGCAUCGGCAUUUCUCCUUCACACAUGCUCACAAUCUCUCUCAGGGUGUCGGGGUGUCUCACGCACAUGCUCUCUCUGUUUCUCUCUCUCUUUCUGACUACUAUGUAUCACUCUUUUCACUAAUCUCAGUUGGAAAACACUAUUUCUCUCACAUGCAUAUAUACACAUGCAUGGUCUCUACUAGCCCUCUAUACGCACAUAUAUGUGCCUACGUGUCUCCCGCACGCACAUUAUCUUUAGGCCUCUCUCGCACACAUUGCCCCCCCGACACACCUCUCUCUUAGUAGUUGGCAGAUAUGAUUUCAUCAUAUCAUUCGGUAGGAUAUCCCUGGCUGUUUGGCUGGAUGGUAAUACGAGGCAAAGUCUUACCCUAGUUCGGAUCAGACCCUUGCAGUUGAAGAAAGAGCCUACUCGUGGUACUGUAUAUUAGUGAUAGGGGUGUGUACAAAGUACACGUGAAUACCAGGCAUUGUGCGUGUGUGUAUACUAUCGACGAACUAGCCCCCAAGCUUGUAUAACAUACUAAGGGCCUAGAGUUACAAAUCAUAUAUAGUCGGCUUAUCACCAGUGGGGAUAGAGUCCUCCGCGACUCUGGUAGCUUCGUGUUGUACGCCGAGUCAUCCACAUGGGUCUUCGUAUAACACGUCUCGGUCGAACCUAUAUGUGGCGCAGGAUGGAACCGACCCAUGAGUCUUCAUGUUGACCCACCACAACUAGAAAUGAUGUGCCGACCACACCACACACGCAAUCGGCCACUAAGAAAAUAAGCAUAUACAAUAGUACAACGGUAUCUAGUUCAUGAUACGUCUCCAUAUUUUGUUGAUGACACUGACGGACUUUGCAUUUGAUGCGUGCUCCGUAUUUUUUUGACGACACUUACAGUCAUUGUAUUUGAAGCGAAAGCACGAUAUGGUCACUGGACUUCAGAAUAAGCUCAUCACGGUCACCACAUACAUUUUGUCGUGCUAACCAACAUGUGGUUGGAUGGUUAGAGGACAGUGGUUUCUCGAGCCCACCAAGGUUAAAGUCCCGGUGCUCGCAUUUAUCUUGUGUUAAUUUCAGUAUUUUCCGGCAAUGUACGUUCAGUGGGAGGAGACGUUCCACUCGACUACGAGGCACCUAUGGUGACUUCGUAAAAUCUCAAGAUCAUAUAUGCUGGCCCACUCUCUCGAAGGAGCUCAUAGGGGUAGGGUUCGCGUGUGUGCGCUUAUAGCGGUGAGUGCUUGCGUGUAUAUAUGAGCCCUUGCGUCUGUACCGUGUUAAACAAAUACAUAUCAUGAUUAUACGGUCACUGGCUCACCCGUACAACUCGUAUUUUGUUGAUGACACAAUCAAUUGACCAGUCAAACGUUCCACGUGGCGCAACUAGUGUUGCACCAUCGGGGCGCGUAACCGUGGGGCCCACCUGUCAGCCCGUAUAUGAAAGAAAGAAAUGGUAGUUUGAGUCUGUACUGUGUUAAUAAAAUAGGAGUACAUUUUAGGGUGAUCAUACGGUCACUGGCUCACCAUACAGCUCCGUAAUUUGUUGAUAACACGAUCAAUUGACCAGUCAAACGGUCCACAUUCAGCAGCGCACAUUACCAUAGGGCCCACCCGUCAGCGCGUAUAUGAAGGACAUAAAUGGUAAUAAAUUAGUGGUCGGUGGGUAUUCGAAGUCGUGAGACCUCUGGUUGGCAGUCACCGGCGGUUGGGGGGGGCGUUCAUUGGGCGGUGGGGUGGGGAUCCCUGGAGAAAAAGCUCGGUNNNNNNNNNNNNNNNNNNNNNNNNNNNNNNNNNNNNNNNNNNNNNNNNNNNNNNNNNNNNNNNNNNNNNNNNNNNNNNNNNNNNNNNNNNNNNNNNNNNNNNNNNNNNNNNNNNNNNNNNNNNNNNNNNNNNNNNNNNNNNNNNNNNNNNNNNNNNNNNNNNNNNNNNNNNNNNNNNNNNNNNNNNNNNNNNNNNNNNNNNNNNNNNNNNNNNNNNNNNNNNNNNNNNNNNNNNNNNNNNNNNNNNNNNNNNNNNNNNNNNNNNNNNNNNNNNNNNNNNNNNNNNNNNNNNNNNNNNNNNNNNNNNNNNNNNNNNNNNNNNNNNNNNNNNNNNNNNNNNNNNNNNNNNNNNNNNNNNNNNNNNNNNNNNNNNNNNNNNNNNNNNNNNNNGGUGCGGCGGCGGACCGGCGGUGGGGAGUGGUUUCGGGGAGGGCGGGCCGGCCGCGGGCGGCGGGGGCUGGCAGUUCGGUCGGUGGUGGCUGGCGGCUCAGGGGGGUGGAGUUUGAUGAUAAACUGGAGGCCCUUGAUUUCGUAUCCAACGGCUGGAAAAUCUAAUGACCAGAGAUGAAAAAGUCAGUCGACUGACGUGUAGCCUCACCCCGCACGUACACAUGCAUGCACGCAAGACACGCACGCAUGUAGGCAUGCAACACUGACACGUACACACGCACGCGUGCUGGCGUGCAACACUGACACGUACACAUGCACUCACGAACACACGCAUGUACGCACCCAUGCAUCCAACACUGAAACGUACCCUUGCACGCACGCAACACUCGCACGCCUGAAUGCACACAGCACACGACGCAAGACACACGCUCAACCUAUACGUGCAUGCACCCUUUGUUAAGGACAUGGAUUGUUAUGGGUAUUAAUCAAUCUUAUCUGUGAUAAGCAGAACAUUGAUGUUUGCAGCUGUCUUUAUGAAUCACAACGUAUCGAACGGGCUAUCAACAUAGUAGGCUUAUCUACAUGAAAAAGAUGACGUCACACUCAAUGAACAAUCAUCGGUUUAUGAAAUGCCCGCUUCUGACCGCCCUGGCCCACCAAAGGUUCCUCUGCUGUGCGCUGCCUGCGUUGGGUCACUGACAUGCAAGCCAUGCACCCAAAGAGCCCACAUGUCAGUGGAAGAAUGGCGCGGUGUCCUAGGUCAGAGUCGAGGGCGCCACUCGCGGCACGCCCGGCUGAACACGCCUCCGUGCCGCAUUCAAACGCCUCCAUGGAACCUGCCUGUGUGGAAGCUGAGAAACCCACUCUGGACACACGUCUGCUCAUGACCGGGCCGGCGUUAAAUGCAACGCCAGCCGAGCUCCUCCCAUCCGCCGUCUAUUUGAUCUCCUAUUUAAACGAGGCCAAACGCCGACCAAGAAUCACACACCUCCGCCGCUCCCCUAUCUCCUCCACCAUUUUGUCCACUCUUACAAUGGCUUACGAAGAGUAGUUAUUCCGCAUCCAAGCCGGCUGGGUAGCCCGCCGGAUACGAGCUCUGCAGCUCGCUGAUCCACCUCCCUCCCCUCGCCCAACGGAGCUAGUUGCCGCCCCAAGCCGGCGCGCGGUUCAGCAACUCGCCGCUCCAGGCCAGCUCGACGAGGAGCGGCGCACGGGCGUCGUUGCUGCCGUCCACGCCGCCACCUCGUACCGCGUCUCCCGUUUCUGUGGCCGAGACUCCCAUGCCGGCGGCCGUGCCAUGCAAGCAGCGACAGAAGCCGGGUACGCGGAGAGCGACGAGUCGGUGGACAGCGCCUCCGCGUCCGCCGCCAUCAUCGAGGAGAAGUAGAACACGGGAGGCCGCCGCCGCUUGGGUCCCAUGAAGGCCACCGCGGAGGCGACGCCGGCGUACACAGCAGGUGUCUUGCCGGAUCCUUUCACUACAAAAAAAAUACACUUCCGUGAUGAUACGUGUUUGUCACAGUAGGUCGCGUUUUUUGUCAUGCAUGUACAUCCAUGACAAAUUUAUGACAGAAUCAAGAUAGUCAUACCUGUGCUGUCGUAGAAGUGUUCCAUGACAUUACCAAAAUUAUCAUCACGGAAGUGUCCACUUCCAUGACGAUAAAUCGCGCGUCACAGAAGUGCUUUCGUCAAGGGUGACCGACACGUGGCAUCCACCGUAACGGAACGCCGUUAAGCUAUCGGGUCGGGUUUUGGAUCCGAUAACCCGUUAAUAGCCCCGACCAAUGGGGAUUUUCCACGUGUAAAAUCAUCAUUGGCUGGAGGAAACACGUGUCGGCUCAUCGCUGGGACAGAUGUCAUCCACUCAUUGGACAGAAGGCGCCUAUGAUACGUCGACACGUGGCAUGGCCCAACAGAGGCCCAUUCCUGUGAAAAGGCCGUCCCGUUUGACUUGGUCAAAAGGUGGCGGGCCGGCCCAUGGAAAGCCCGUUAAUGGCCUGUUCGCAUAUAGCCCAUUUACAGCCCGCUAACCCAAGGCCCGUUACGCCCUAUUCGAAUUAGGCCCAGUAGCGUCAUCUGGGCCAUCCAAUAUGAUUCCAGCCCGUUUUCACUUCUGGCCCAUGUAUGGCCCAUGACGUCUUUCGGCCCAUAUGAGGCCCUAUGUAACUCUUGGCCUAUAAACGGCCCGUGGUGAAACUGGCCCGUAAUGAACAGUGUAUCACUUUACACCCAUUAACGGCCCGUGGUGAAACUGGCCCGUAAAGAACAGUGUAUCACUUUAUACCCAUUAACGGCCCGUUAUUCCGUUGGGCCGUUUCCAGCCCAUGUUAUCUUUCGGCCUUCUCAGAGCCCAGUUAUUCUUGGGCUAUUUUCCAGCAUUCGUUUACUUACGGCCCGUUACUGUCAUUUUCUGCUUGUGGGCCAAAUUCAGCCCGUGGUUACAGUCGGCCCGUUUGUGGUCCGUUAAUACGUUGGGCCGUUUUCAUUGCGUCAUCAAAUACGGCCUAUUAACGAUGGCCCGUUAUGGUCGGCCCAUGAACGGACGAUUCCAACUCUAGCCCAUUUACGGCCAGAAUGCGGUCUGUUUGGCCCAUGUUUGGCCAAUCGAUCAUACGGCCCGUAUAAGGCCCAUUGAUGAUACGGCCCGUAGAAGGCCCAUUGUUUCUACGGCCCGUAGAAGGCCCACUAUUUCUACGGCCCAUAGAAGGCCCACUGUUUCUACAGCCCGUAGAAGGCCCACUGUUUCUACGGCCCGUAGGAGGCCCAGUGUCACUACAGUAAAUAUUAGCCCAUGGUUAUUGUGGCCUAGUUUUAAAAAAUAGGUUAUUGCAGCCACUAGCAAACCGCAGAAAAAGAACUGCACCGACUACAAGCAAACAAAUAAACAAGACAACAAGGAAAUAAAUAAGCAAGCAACUUACACUAGGCUAUCAUGGCUAUUACACAUAUUACAUCCACUGGGCAUCAAAGUUCGCCACCAGUGCAAAUAUAGGGAACACAACAGCAUAUAAACGCCGCAGCAAAACAAGUCCAGAACUGAAACCACUUCAGAAGAGCUCAAGAAAAAAUAUCCUGGGUACCCAUAAUGCUGGCAAGAUGCUUAGCAAGCUUAUUAACUUUCUCUUGUUUGGCGCUUAAGUCCUCCAGCGCUUGCUGUUGCACCAGAAAGUAUGCAUCUGAAUUCUGCAGGGACUUCCUCAGUCCUUCGGCUUCCUGUCGCAUAACAUCUGAUCGAUGUCUUUCAACUUGAAGUUGAGACUCAAGAAGCCGAACUGAUUCAGGCAACGAGUUCGAAGAGCUGGUGCCAGCAGUGGUAGCCAGUUGUAGCGACCAGACCUCAAAUGGUCUGUGCUGCUGUGCACCAGUGUCAUCCCUGGAUCCGUAAUGCUGACACGCACAGUAAAAAUGGAGGAUUUAUAACAGAGUAGCAAUCACACACUUAUUACAUCGAAUAUCUCCAAAGAGAUUAAGUAUGAAAAUAUGGCUUAAGGCCAUCUAAAAACGAUAACAGCGGAAGACUUGGAAGAUAAGUGAGUCCAUCAACUCCAGCGGCAUCACUGAGUAUAAGACCACGACCUAAGGCACCUUACUCGUCGUCUGAAAAGUCUGCAACAUGAAACGUUGCAGCCCGAAAAUAGGUCAGCACAUAGAAUAUGCUGGCAAAGUAACACAUAGAGAGUAAUGAACAAUAAUAAUGCUAUACUACAUGCAUAUAUGGCUGGUGGAAAGCUCUAUGGUUACAUUUUAUGCGAAAAGCCAAUUAUUCCCUACUUCAAAGGAAUAAAUUUUAUUUAACUAUCAUGGUGGUUGUGAAACAUUGAGAUGGUUGACAGCAUCUCAAUCCCAAUUAAGAGUCAUCAAUAACCCCACAAAAUUAAUUAAAAGUAACAUGGUGAUGAGAUUCAAACGAUAAUCCAGGUACUAGAUACUCAAGUUGUCCAUAACCGGGGACACGGCGAACCAUGAUUAGUUUGUACACUCUGCAGAGUUUUGUGCACCUUUCCCCACAAGACUCGAUCGCCUCCGCGUGAUUCUCGCACUGCAUGAUGUUUGAGAAACGGAUGACCGAGACACAGUCUUUCAGGAACAAUCACUCUUUACUCUGGGUGGACCGGUACACCUACUUUCCCCUACAUCUGCUAGCCCACCUCUUCAAGAGAUCUUGUAACCUACUCAACUAUGCUAGAGCCCAUAAUAGCUUGUGGCUGCACACGGAAGUUUCUAGCAUGAAUAAUCUUAUGAUCCCUUUGAGCCUGGGUGGCGGUCCUUAUACAAACAGACAACACUGGAUUCUCGAGGUGCCUCAGUCCACCCAGAUGUGAGUUUUAGUUGCCACCUUAGGUAAACCAUUAUUAUCAAUCUCACAUCUGUCAUGAAUAUCUCUCAAACCCAAUCCACGUCUACGAGCAUAGCAUGGCAAUAUAAUAGCAACGUAGAGGUAACUCCCAAGGGUUUGAUAAGAAAACAGGUAAUAGGUACUACCUCAACUACUUCCUAAUACCCACAAUUUAAUUAGAUCCUAGUCAUGCAAUGUUUGAGGAAUAGAUCUAAUGCAAUAAAAACUGGGUAUGGAAGGUAUAUGAUCAAAGUGUUACUUGCCUUGCUGAUGAUCCGCGAAACCUAGCGAUUCGAAGUAACAAACGGCACACUCCAGGUACUCUAUCGCAAACAAACAAGCAAACAAUAAGUACUCAUCUAAUGCACAGGUAAAACUCGAAUGAAAGAUCCAACCAGAAAGUUCAACUUAAGAACUCCGAUUUGCAAAAAGAAUCAACUCGAACGAAGCAAUGAAAGUCAAACGGCGAAAGAAACAAGCUUCGUUUACUAAUCUGGAUCUAGGUCAAAUUUUACAGUAGCAAAAACUUGUUUGAGUAGGUUAAACGGAAAGAGAAUUUCGAGACGAAACUCUAGGCGCUUGAAUCGCCUGAUUCCGAUAAACGAGCGAAAAGUUAAACAGAAACGAAGAUUCGAUCAGAAAUCGAAUCUGAGAUAAUCGCGGAAAAAUCCGACGAAAAAGAAAAACGGACGAACGGUUAAAGAACGGACGUUCGUUAACAGAGAAAAACCGACGAACGCGUUCGUUAAAACGAACGGUUCGGUGAACGUUCACAAAAUAACAAAACCGAAAAAAAAC